Molecule: ribosomal RNA, 253 nt
Filed under: uncultured bacterium
Lineage: Bacteria
Description: partial 16S ribosomal RNA
Rfam family: Bacterial small subunit ribosomal RNA
Source: RNAcentral
GACAGAGGGUGCGAACGUUGUUCGGAAUUACUGGGCGUAAAGCGUGUGUAGGCGGCCAAGAAAGUCGGAUGUGAAAGCCCUGGGCUCAACCCAGGAAGUGCACCCGAUACUGCUUGGCUAGAGUACCGGAGAGGUUGGUGGAAUUCUCGGUGUAGAGGUGAAAUUCGUAGAUAUCGAGAGGAACACCGGUGGCGAAGGCGGCCAACUGGACGAAUACUGACGCUGAGACACGAAAGCGUGGGGAGCAAACAGG